Acanthosepion pharaonis is the source of this 86-nucleotide non-coding RNA. NCBI's taxonomy places the organism in Eukaryota, Metazoa, Mollusca, Cephalopoda, Sepiida, Sepiidae. The record is from the annotation of a GenBank genome assembly.
ACCUCGUACGAUCACUGAAGUUAAGCAACGUCGAGCUUCGUCAGUACUUACAUGGGUGUCCGCUUAGGAAUACCAGCUGCUGCAAG